UCCGUAGGUGAACCUGCGGAAGGAUCAUUACUGAUUUGCUUAAUUGCACCACAUGUGUUUUUCUUUGAAACAAACUUGCUUUGGCGGUGGGCCCAGCCUGCCGCCAGAGGUCUAAACUUACAACCAAUUUUUUAUCAACUUGUCACACCAGAUUAUUACUAAUAGUCAAAACUUUCAACAACGGAUCUCUUGGUUCUCGCAUCGAUGAAGAACGCAGCGAAAUGCGAUACGUAAUAUGAAUUGCAGAUAUUCGUGAAUCAUCGAAUCUUUGAACGCACAUUGCGCCCUCUGGUAUUCCGGAGGGCAUGCCUGUUUGAGCGUCGUUUCUCCCUCAAACCGCUGGGUUUGGUGUUGAGCAAUACGACUUGGGUUUGCUUGAAAGACGGUAGUGGUAAGGCGGGAUCGCUUUGACAAUGGCUUAGGUCUAACCAAAAACAUUGCUUGCGGCGGUAACGUCUACUACGUAUAUCUUCAAACUUUGACCUCAAAUCAAGGGUAGGACUACCCGCUGAACUUAAGCAUAUCAAUAAGCGGAGGAA
Molecule: ribosomal RNA, 539 nt
Filed under: Candida albicans
Lineage: Eukaryota; Fungi; Ascomycota; Pichiomycetes; Serinales; Debaryomycetaceae
Description: eukaryotic LSU rRNA
Rfam family: 5.8S ribosomal RNA (bases 170-323)
Source: RNAcentral